AGGAGGAAAGUUAAUUUACUAAAUAUGAUAUCAGAAUGCGAGGUAACACAAAAUAAUACAAUAGAAUUGUAAUUGAGGCCAAUAAAUAAAAUGAAUACUAAACAAAUUAAAUGUGUCCAAAAAACUGAAGGCCUUACUCUAAUGCUGCAGACAAGACAGCUGGGGAGCACACACACUGCAGAGAUGAGAAGAAAGGGAAGAGGGAACAUCUUGGUCUGUGAACAGUUUUGUCUUUCCCUCUGAAUGAAAACCAGAAACUAAACAGUGAACAGUCCUCUGGGGUAUGUAGUUCUCCUCCUCUUCCGAGGCAGCUAUACCCAGAAGUAGCAAUGAUCCACAGGACUGGAGCAUUAACACUUUAACUCCCAGUACACUAUAUGAUGUUGUGAUCUGGAAUACCAAUAAAAAAUAAGAACCAUGACACAGCUCUGGAAAUUCCUCAUUAGCAAUGACAUUACAAGAAGGGCUAAGUAGAAUCUUAAUCUUCACAUUUAAAUUCACAAGUGUUAGACACGCUAUCACAAGGAGUUUAGAAACACACUUAAGGUAAAAUCACUGAAACAAGAUGAAGUUCUCUUUACAGGUAUAUUUUUCAUUCAUCAAGCUCAGGACUUUUUUUGCUGGGUCAUUCAGCAUGAUCAGUUGCCACAUAAGAGGUUUUAACUAUUCAAUUCUGCAUUUGGAUUUAUUUACUAAGAUGUGCGUGUGUGUGUGGGGGGGGGGAAACCACAGCAAGAUUAUAGUGAGACAGCAGAGCACUGUAUUAAAUUCUGUAGAUCUAAUACCACAGACAGUAUAAACUCUGUAAAACAGCUUACUUCUACUGCCCUAUAGACAACAGCAGCAUUGGAGUAAAAUAUAAAAGCUAAUUAGAAGUUUCUGCUGAAUUAUCUUACUAUAGUGGGUUGGAAAAAAAAACAAGCCUAUUAGUCUUGAACACUAUAGAUGGAGCAGAAAUAUACCCACUAUCUCAACUGUGAUUUUAAUGUUACAGCAUUUUCAAGCUCAUAUUCUGAUCUGGGAUCAGCAUUCUCAAGACACAGUGAAUUAGCGAACAGAAUGAAUCAGAAGUGCAGCCUCAGAAACAACGACAAAGCUUUUGUCUCUGGGCUUUCAGUUAACUCUGGCAUUAAACCUGAGGGAACUCAAUCCACUACUCCUCAUGCAAGAACUCCUACACAGAUCAGGAGCACGGAGAUUAUUUCCCCAAGUUUCAAGAACAAACUUGUGAAAACGUGCCUUGAAGUUCUUAGUUUUAAACUCUUUACUAGUAAAAUUAAGUUAUUAGAACAAAACUAAAUGAAAGUGUAAUUCAAAAUUAAUUCCUAUCAUUUUGAUACAUUUACAUUACACUUCAGUUACCACAACCAUUCCUGCCAAGAUUUUUAGUGAUGGAGUUACUGUUACAGAUCGGUGUUACAUGCUAGUAUGCCACAAGUAGCAAUCCACUUCCAUGUCUUUAACAGUUUCCUCAGUCACCCUGAGAGGGCUGCAAAACAUCCAGGGUGGUAUUUCUCAUUCAGCAAUAGUGGUUCUACAAGAAGCUUAUCUGUUGCACAAGAAGAUUAAAAAAAUACUUGUUCUAACUUGAGGAUUAGACUUAGAAAUUAAGGAUGAUUAAGGCCUGCACUCUGAACACUGCAAAGGAAGCAUUAUUUCACUUCAUUCAGAUAGGUUGUAUCAGCAUAGUACCAUUAUGGAUGUGUAGAAGCAAUACUAGUGGGGAAAAAAAGAAAAAUCACCUGAAGGUGAUUUUACUUAGUUCAAAGCAUUACAAACAACUGCUUACAAUUAAUAACAAUGCUUAACACAUAACUUCAUAGAAAUUGCUCCAAAGUAUUGUCUACAUAAAAAAUACAAGUAGUUUUAGAUAACAGCAUGCAGCUACAAACAUAUCCAACCACUCCACCUCUCUUCCUGAGAGAAGACUUACAGUCAGAACUACGACAAAACAUUCUCAACACUGGAACCGCUUCCUACCUCCAGCUCCUCAGUAUUCCUAUGGGCAGUUUUAUUCCCUAUCAUUAGGAAAAUGCUACCCUU
Molecule: long non-coding RNA, 2043 nt
Organism: Gallus gallus (chicken)
Lineage: Eukaryota; Metazoa; Chordata; Aves; Galliformes; Phasianidae
Source: Ensembl